UACGUAGGGUGCAAGCGUUAAUCGGAAUUACUGGGCGUAAAGCGUGCGCAGGCGGUGAUGUACGACAGUUGUGAAAUCCCCGGGCUCAACCUGGGAACUGCAUCUGUGACUGCAUCGCUGGAGUGCGGCAGAGGGGGAUGGAAUUCCGCGUGUAGCAGUGAAAUGCGUAGAUAUGCGGAGGAACACCGAUGGCGAAGGCAAUCCCCUGGGCCUGCACUGACGCUCAUGCACGAAAGCGUGGGGAGCAAACAGG
RNAcentral lists this ribosomal RNA (253 nucleotides) under uncultured bacterium. Its description in RNAcentral is "partial 16S ribosomal RNA". It matches the Rfam family "Bacterial small subunit ribosomal RNA", at positions 524 to 776 of the family's 1533-position model. The record is from RNAcentral.